UUACCUGCUGGCUGCAGGUGCUCUGACUAGGUUGCACUACUGUGCUCUGAGAAGCAGUGCAAUGAUAUUGUCAAAGCAUCUGGGACCAGCCUUGUAG
Molecule: microRNA precursor, 97 nt
Organism: Cricetulus griseus (Chinese hamster)
Lineage: Eukaryota; Metazoa; Chordata; Mammalia; Rodentia; Cricetidae
Gene: Mir301b
Product: microRNA 301b
Source: Ensembl